Long non-coding RNA from Dermacentor albipictus, 442 nucleotides. RefSeq lists it as uncharacterized. NCBI's taxonomy places the organism in Eukaryota, Metazoa, Arthropoda, Arachnida, Ixodida, Ixodidae. The record is from RefSeq and is a predicted model, not a curated record.
CGACUGUAUGAUUAUACGCCUCAGUGCAUGCAGAAGCCAACGUGUUCCGAUAGUAAGCUUCUGAGUAGCUAAAUUAACCAAAUUCACCGGGAUGCCGAAGUGCACGGAAUCCGAGGCUUCACUGCAACGUAUCUCUCGCUUCCUGCUUCGACAGCUUCUCCUCAAAGAUUCACGGUACACUGGCAUUCUGGCAUCGGAAUGCAGCCGCCAUGAACUCGCCCUCUAAGCAGCGCAAGGCCACUACGCAACCACGGCGGAUACUACAAGGAGUAUUUUGUCAUAUCGACUCUCAAGCCGCUCUCACAAUCAGUCAACCGAACACCAUCAAUCUUCAGGAGAGACUCCGUCGGACCUCCGGUAGCAGGAAUCCUCACCUACGAACAUCAUUGGAGCUCAGAGGAAAAGAUAAAUAACGUACUUUCUUCGAGUCUUUGUAAAUACA